GCAUAUCAAUAAGCGGAGGAAAAGAAACCAACAGGGAUUGCCCCAGUAACGGCGAGUGAAGCGGCAACAGCUCAAAUUUGAAAUCUGGUCCCUAGGGCCCGAGUUGUAAUUUGUAGAGGAUGCUUUUGGUGAGGUGCCGCCCGAGUUCCCUGGAACGGGACGCCACAGAGGGUGAGAGCCCCGUCUGGCUGGCCGCCGAGCCUCUGUAAAGCUCCUUCGACGAGUCGAGUAGUUUGGGAAUGCUGCUCAAAAUGGGAGGUAUAUGUCUUCUAAAGCUAAAUAUUGGCCAGAGACCGAUAGCGCACAAGUAGAGUGAUCGAAAGAUGAAAAGCACCUUGAAAAGAGGGUUAAAUAGUACGUGAAAUUGUUGAAAGGGAAGCGCUUGUGACCAGACUUGGGCGCGGCGGAUCAUCCGGGGUUCUCUCCGGUGCACUUCGCCGCGUCUAGGCCAGCAUCAGUUCGUCGCGGGGGAAAAAGGCUUCGGGAACGUGGCUCCUCCGGGAGUGUUAUAGCCCGUUGCAUAAUACCCUGCGGUGGACUGAGGACCGCGCAUCUGCAAGGAUGCUGGCGUAAUGGUCACCAGCGACCCGUCUUGAAACACGGACCAAGGAGUCGUCUUCGUAUGCGAGUGUUCGGGUGUCAAACCCCUACGCGUAAUGAAAGUGAACGCAGGUGAGAGCUUCGGCGCAUCAUCGACCGAUCCUGAUGUUCUCGGAUGGAUUUGAGUAAGAGCAUACGGGGCCGGACCCGAAAGAAGGUGAACUAUGCCUGUAUAGGGUGAAGCCAGAGGAAACUCUGGUGGAGGCUCGCAGCGGUUCUGACGUGCAAAUCGAUCGUCAAAUAUGGGCAUGGGGGCGAAAGACUAAUCGAACCUUCUAGUAGCUGGUUUCCGCCGA
RNAcentral lists this ribosomal RNA (896 nucleotides) under Trichoderma harzianum. RNAcentral describes it as "LSU rRNA". It matches the Rfam family "Eukaryotic large subunit ribosomal RNA", at positions 38 to 964 of the family's 3401-position model. Lineage: Eukaryota; Fungi; Ascomycota; Sordariomycetes; Hypocreales; Hypocreaceae. The record is from RNAcentral.